RNAcentral lists this ribosomal RNA (660 nucleotides) under uncultured bacterium. Its description in RNAcentral is "bacterial SSU rRNA". It matches the Rfam family "Bacterial small subunit ribosomal RNA", at positions 94 to 788 of the family's 1533-position model. The record is from RNAcentral.
AGUGGCGGACGGGUGAGUAACGCGUGAGAAUCUGCCUUGGGGUCGGGGACAACCACUGGAAACGGUGGCUAAUACCGGAUAAGCCGAUUGGUGAAAGAUUUAUUGCCCGAAGAGGAGCUCGCGUCUGAUUAGCUAGUUGGUGAGGUAAGAGCUCACCAAGGCAGCGAUCAGUAGCUGGUCUGAGAGGACGAUCAGCCACACUGGGACUGAGACACGGCCCAGACUCCUACGGGAGGCAGCAGUGGGGAAUUUUCCGCAAUGGGCGAAAGCCUGACGGAGCAAGACCGCGUGAGGGAGGAAGGCUCUUGGGUUGUAAACCUCUUUUCUCAGGGAAGAAGCUCUGACGGUACCUGAGGAAUCAGCCUCGGCUAACUCCGUGCCAGCAGCCGCGGUAAUACGGAGGAGGCAAGCGUUAUCCGGAAUUAUUGGGCGUAAAGCGUCCGCAGGUGGCGAUUCAAGUCUGCUGUCAAAGCACGGGGCUUAACUCCGUAAAGGCAGUGGAAACUGAAUAGCUAGAGUGCCGUAGGGGUAGAGGGAAUUCCCGGUGUAGCGGUGAAAUGCGUAGAGAUCGGGAAGAACAUCGGUGGCGAAAGCGCUCUACUGGACGGCAACUGGCACUCAGGGACGAAAGCUAGGGGAGCGAAUGGGAUUAGAUACCCC